UACGAAGGGGGCUAGCGUUGCUCGGAAUCACUGGGCGUAAAGGGCGCGUAGGCGGCCGGCCAAGUCGGGGGUGAAAGCCUGUGGCUCAACCACAGAAUGGCCCUCGAUACUGGACGGCUCGAGACCGGAAGAGGUUGGUGGAAUUGCGAGUGUAGAGGUGAAAUUCGUAGAUAUUCGGAAGAACACCAGUGGCGAAGGCGACUUACUGGACGAUUGUUGACGCUGAAAACCGAAAGCUAGGGGAGCAAACGGG
RNAcentral lists this ribosomal RNA (253 nucleotides) under uncultured bacterium. RNAcentral's name for it is "partial 16S ribosomal RNA". It matches the Rfam family "Bacterial small subunit ribosomal RNA", at positions 524 to 776 of the family's 1533-position model. The record is from RNAcentral.